RNAcentral lists this ribosomal RNA (1343 nucleotides) under uncultured bacterium. RNAcentral describes it as "16S ribosomal RNA". It matches the Rfam family "Bacterial small subunit ribosomal RNA", at positions 28 to 1378 of the family's 1533-position model. The record is from RNAcentral.
GACGAACGCUGGCGGCGUGCUUAACACAUGCUAGUCGAACGGAAAGGCCCUGCUUUUGUGGGGUGCUCGAGUGGCGAACGGGUGAGUAACACGUGAGUAACCUGCCCUUGACUUUGGGAUAACUUCAGGAAACUGGGGCUAAUACCGGAUAGGAGCUCCUGCUGCAUGGUGGGGGUUGGAAAGUUUCGGCGGUUGGGGAUGGACUCGCGGCUUAUCAGCUUGUUGGUGGGGUAGUGGCUUAUCAAGGCUUUGACGGGUAGCCGGCCUGAGAGGGUGACCGGCCACAUUGGGACUGAGAUACGGCCCAGACUCCUACGGGGGGCAGCAGUGGGGAAUAUUGCACAAUGGGCGGAAGCCUGAUGCAGCAACGCCGCGUGCGGGAUGACGGCCUUCGGGUUGUAAACCGCUUUCGCCUGUGACGUAGCGUGAGUGACGGUAAUGGGUAAAGAAGCACCGGCUAACUACGUGCCAGCAGCCGCGGUGAUACGUAGGGUGCGAGCGUUGUCCGGAUUUAUUGGGCGUAAAGGGCUCGUAGGUGGUUGAUCGCGUCGGAAGUGUAAUCUUGGGGCUUAACCCUGAGCGUGCUUUCGAUACGGGUUGACUUGAGGAAGGUAGGGGAGAAUGGAAUUCCUGGUGGAGCGGUGGAAUGCGCAGAUAUCAGGAGGAACACCAGUGGCGAAGGCGGUUCUCUGGGCCUUUCCUGACGCUGAGGAGCGAAAGCGUGGGGAGCGAACAGGCUUAGAUACCCUGGUAGUCCACGCUGUAAACGGUGGGUACUAGGUGUGGGGUCCAUUCCACGGGUUCCGUGCCGUAGCUAACGCUUUAAGUACCCCGCCUGGGGAGUACGGCCGCAAGGCUAAAACUCAAAGGAAUUGACGGGGCCCCGCACAAGCGGCGGAGCAUGCGGAUUAAUUCGAUGCAACGCGUAGAACCUUACCUGGGUUUGACAUGGAUCGGGAGUGCUCAGAGAUGGGUGUGCCUCUUUUGGGGUCGGUUCACAGGUGGUGCAUGGCUGUCGUCAGCUCGUGUCGCGAGAUGUUGGGUUAAGUCCCGCAACGAGCGCAACCCUUGUUCACUGUUGCCAGCACGUUAUGGUGGGGACUCAGUGGAGACCGCCGGGGUCAACUCGGAGGAAGGUGGGGAUGACGUCAAGUCAUCAUGCCCCUUAUGUCCAGGGCUUCACGCAUGCUACAAUGGCUGGUACAGAGAGUGGCGAGCCUGUGAGGGUGAGCGAAUCUCGGAAAGCCGGUCUCAGUUCGGAUUGGGGUCUGCAACUCGGCCUCAUGAAGUCGGAGUCGCUAGUAAUCGCAGAUCAGCAACGCUGCGGUGAAUACGUUCCCGGG